Molecule: ribosomal RNA, 225 nt
Filed under: uncultured bacterium
Lineage: Bacteria
Description: partial 16S ribosomal RNA
Rfam family: Bacterial small subunit ribosomal RNA
Source: RNAcentral
UACAGGAGGGGCCAGCGUUAUUCGGAAUUAUUGGGCGUAAAGGGCGCGUAGGCGGCUUUGCGUGUCUUUCGUGAAAUCCCUCGGCUCAACUGAGGACGUGCGGAAGAAAACUGCAGGGCUGGAGUCCGGGAGAGGAGGGUGGAAUUCCCAGUGUAGCGGUGAAAUGCGUAGAUAUUGGGAGGAACACCGGUGGCGAAGGCGGCCCUCUGGACCGGUACUGACGCU